This 253-nucleotide ribosomal RNA is filed under the name uncultured bacterium. RNAcentral's name for it is "partial 16S ribosomal RNA". It matches the Rfam family "Bacterial small subunit ribosomal RNA", at positions 524 to 776 of the family's 1533-position model. The record is from RNAcentral.
UACGGAGGGUGCGAGCGUUAAUCGGAAUUACUGGGCGUAAAGGGUGCGUAGGUGGUUGAUUAAGUUAUCUGUGAAAUUCCUGGGCUCAACCUGGGCAGGUCAGAUAAGACUGAUUGACUCGAGUAUAGGAGAGGGUAGUGGAAUUUCCGGUGUAGCGGAGAAAUGCGUAGAGAUCGGAAGGAACACCAGUGGCGAAGGCGGCUACCUGGCCUAAUACUGACACUGAGGCACGAAAGCGUGGGGAGCAAACAGG